GACGUCAAUAUUUAAGUCACAAGCUGCCGGCUCACUCCUCACAACGACCGCAGCUCAUGUCUUUGUCCAGACGACAACCCGAGAUAACUGUUGGCAAGAUCGAACAAGAGUUGCACGCUUACACUGAACUCCUUCUGAUCUUUUCUUGGACCUGAUCUUCAAGUCUUCAAGAGCGAACCAUCGAGAUGAAGAUCUGCGUGGCCACCAUUCUGUCA
Long non-coding RNA from Patiria miniata (bat star), 215 nucleotides. RefSeq lists it as uncharacterized. NCBI's taxonomy places the organism in Eukaryota, Metazoa, Echinodermata, Asteroidea, Valvatida, Asterinidae. The record is from RefSeq and is a predicted model, not a curated record. The transcript is spliced from 3 exons.